RNAcentral lists this ribosomal RNA (474 nucleotides) under uncultured organism. RNAcentral describes it as "partial 16S ribosomal RNA". It matches the Rfam family "Bacterial small subunit ribosomal RNA", at positions 333 to 798 of the family's 1533-position model. The record is from RNAcentral.
ACACUCCUGCGGGAGGCAGCAGUGGGGAAUUUUGGACAAUGGGCGAAAGCCUGAUCCAGCAAUGCCGCGUGAGUGAAGAAGGCCUUCGGGUUGUAAAGCUCUUUUGUCAGGGAAGAAACGGUGAGAGCUAAUUUCUCUUGCUAAUGACGGUACCUGAAGAAUAAGCACCGGCUAACUACGUGCCAGCAGCCGCGGUAAUACGUAGGGUGCAAGCGUUAAUCGGAAUUACUGGGCGUAAAGCGUGCGCAGGCGGUUUUGUAAGUCUGAUGUGAAAUCCCCGGGCUCAACCUGGGAAUUGCAUUGGAGACUGCAAGGCUAGAAUCUGGCAGAGGGGGGUAGAAUUCCACGUGUAGCAGUGAAAUGCGUAGAUAUGUGGAGGAACACCGAUGGCGAAGGCAGCCCCCUGGGUCAAGAUUGACGCUCAUGCACGAAAGCGUGGGGAGCAAACAGGAUGAGAAACCCCGGUAGUCCCAU